UUUUAUUUUCUAUGUAUAGCACGUUUAAUUUUGUAUGUGUAAUAAAGUAUAUAUGGAUUAUAAUAUUAUCUUUUUAUUUUUCCUCGUCGUUCGUUAUUCUCACUUUCCAUACAUCUUUCUCUUAUCUCCUACGUUCACCUCUCACAGUCUUUGUUCGUCUUCCUUUAUUCACGCUUUCAUUCACACACUAUAUACUCUACAGUCUAUGGUCUAUAGAUUAUUCUAAUUUCAAAAAAAGGCUCUUUUUCCACGCGGAGAAGACAGAAACGAGGAAGUUGGUUCGUUCGGGUGUAAUGAAAUCGAGGUCGUGAUACACGAGCUGUGAAACGAGCUUCAAGGCGCAUUCGCAACGACCGUGUCGUCGUCUGUUCGGCCGUGAUAAUUGAGAAACUGGUGGUAUGGCGGGGUAUACGAGGGUGUAGCCACUCGUCGAAUGAAUGCAAUAUCGCAGACACGCGAGAAGAGGCUGAAGGUAUCGAGGGGAUAAAUCGAACGCGGUUUCAGACGAUUCCUCGCGACGCGCUUCUGAGAACGUCGGUCUCGUUCAAAAAAAGAAAAGAAAAAAAAGAAAGAAGGGAAAAAAACGAAUGAACCGAUGAAUGAAAUCCCCCACGGAGAUAUUCACGCCAACUUCUUUCCGCAAUUAACGCCCCACUGAACGACAGACGCCAGUCUCGUUUCAACAAUGCCGAUCGAAUCACGCGAGAUCGAUUGCAUUUUGUUUGAGCGAUUGGAUUUUUUCAAUGUGUCGUUUGAAAUUGCUUUAUAGCAAUAUAUCUGCAGUUGCAGGUGCUUAUUCAAUUGUACGAGACUUAAAAUCGACUCAAAUUAAUUUUGGCAACAAAUGGAUCGGUAGAAUGG
RNAcentral lists this unclassified non-coding RNA (861 nucleotides) under Bombus terrestris (buff-tailed bumblebee). Its description in RNAcentral is "misc RNA ENSBTSG00005021018.1". The record is from RNAcentral. Lineage: Eukaryota; Metazoa; Arthropoda; Insecta; Hymenoptera; Apidae.